RNAcentral lists this unclassified non-coding RNA (500 nucleotides) under uncultured Glomus. RNAcentral's name for it is "SSU rRNA". It matches the Rfam family "Eukaryotic small subunit ribosomal RNA", at positions 591 to 1092 of the family's 1831-position model. Lineage: Eukaryota; Fungi; Glomeromycota; Glomeromycetes; Glomerales; Glomeraceae. The record is from RNAcentral.
CCAAUAGCGUAUAUUAAAGUUGUUGCAGUUAAAAAGCUCGUAGUUGAAUUUCGGGACCAAUCUGCCGGUCGUGCCUCCGGUACGCACUGGUUUUAUUGGUUUCUCCCUUCUGACGAACCAUGAUGUCAUUAAUUUGGUGUCAUGGGGAAUCAGGACUGUUACUUUGAAAAAAUUAGAGUGUUUAUAGCAGUCUCACGCUUUACUACAUUAGCAUGGAAUAAUGAAAUAGGACGUUUGUCCCUGUUUUGUUGGUUUCUAGGAUCGACGUAAUGAUUAAUAGGGAUAGUUGGGGGCAUUAGUAUUCAAUUGUCAGAGGUGAAAUUCUUGGAUUUAUUGAAGACUAACUACUGCGAAAGCAUUUGCCAAGGAUGUUUUCAUUAAUCAAGAACGAAAGUUAGGGGAUCGAAGACGAUCAGAUACCGUCGUAGUCUUAACCAUAAACUAUGCCGACUAGGGAUCGGAUGAUGUUAAUUUUUUAAUGACUCAUUCGGCGCCUUACG